AAACUGCUAAUAUUUUACCCAAAAAUAGAAAAUCAAUGCAUAAGCAAGUAAUAUGCAGUCCAUAUAGGUCCCAUAUGGGUCCCAUUUGGGCCGCCCAACAAAGCACAAAAUCAGCUACCGGGCUGUUUCUGGGCAAACUCAUAUGGGUAAGCCCAAAUGGGAGUCAUUUGGGACCUAUAUGGGUUAGCCCAUAUGGGAAUGCCCUUAAGGGUCCCAUAUAGGUCCCAUAUUAUUGCGCUAUCAGGAUAAAGAUAUAAACUUUUAUUUAUUUGAUUAAAAACUCAUUUCUUAAAACGUAUGUAUGACAAACUUGAUCUCAACUGCUAAUAUUUUACCCCAAAAUAUAAAAUCAAUGCAUAAGCAAAUAAUAUGCAGCCCAUAUGGGUCCCAUACGGGUCCCAUUUGGGCCGCCCAACAAAGUACAAAAUCAGCUAUCGGGCGCACAUUUUUUGAAAAUGCUGUUUUUGAUAUUGCUUUGUUUUAAAUAAUGUAUAUACUAUGAUUAAUAUGUAGUUAUUUUCAAGAGAUAAUUUUAAUUUAAAUAAUCGCGCAGAAAAAUAAAGUAUUUAAAUAAUAUGCGCAUGCGCAGAUGUUAAUUCCGCCUCGCCUCGCAUUCAAAACAAAAACACUCGAAACGAAAAUAAAAUAUUCACCACCGCCUCGUUUGCCAACAUCGUCUUUACAAGGAAUGUCCAGCAGUGCAUGACAGAGGCCGGUCACUUCCAUUAAGUCCAGGCAGCUGAAGAGCCUUCCCAAAGACAGUUCAUAGGACAAAAUGCAGUUACACAGAUUUUAACGGUGUUGGAAACAAUGAGAGACGAGAACAGGGAAAUGAAGCGGAUGCUGCAGCAGCUCUUGGCUAGGUCAGCUACUGAUGACGAGCCAAUGCAACUGCCAGAGAACAUCAUUCUUCCAAUUGGAACAUUUGAGCAAAUGGAUGAGUUUGAAGAGCAUCUUGGUGAUGAAGCUACGAUCCAUCUUUUCUAGGACUGCUGCAUAGUUCAAGCUUUUUUAUCAAAUAUAUUAAGCAAUGUUGUAAAUGUAAUUGACAGUUUUUUCUCCAUUAAUCCUAAACCAUUCCUUUAAGGCUCAUCUUCUAAGAAAGCAAACAAUCUUUUUUAUCUGGAAAUGAAACGGUAUAUAUUCCUUUGCAAAAGAAGAAACAGCAUUCCAGUUUUUGAAGGUUUUAAAAGACAUAUAUAUAUAUAUAUAUAUAUAUAUAUAUAUAUAUAUAUAUAUAUAUAUAUAUAUAUAUAUAUAUAUAUCAUGUGCAAUUACGAAAAACACUAGAAUGUAUGAAGAUAUCAAAGAUAAUAAUAUGGACUUGUUCUCGAAAAAGGAUUUGCCAUUUAUUUCAGUUUUGGAUUUUUUUGCAGGGUUUUUAAUGUGUAGUUUAUAAAAUAUUUUGUUUAGUCUUGGACUCAUAUCGUACAUCAAAUCAUUUCUGUCUUCAGUUGUCAAAACACCUAUAUACUGUUUGAUUCCAAUAAUGUCGCUUUAAUGGAAUUACCAUUUGUAUUCAUUUGCUUCUUAUGGAAUGAGUGAUGUAUUGGACGUCAUCAUUGAUGACGUUCAUUCGAACGAAUGAUAAAGGGGGCUAAGUUCCGUUAAGCUGAGGCAAAUCACUGCGAUUUGGGUCUCUUGAAAACUGGCCGAACACGUUUGCUGAAAUUUGACAUGUAUAUGGACAAGAAUGCGAUCUACCUGUUGGCGUAGGCGUUAUACCUGGGAAAAAUCAAGUUUUCGAGUAUUUUGUGUUGAAAUAUUUUUAUGGGAAACGGCACGCGCGCAUGACGUCAUGAAAAGCGCUUAGGCUAGCUUCCAUCUUGUUAAUAAACAAAGAAACAAAGUUACGCGUUAUUAAUUCAAUAA
Long non-coding RNA from Dreissena polymorpha, 1872 nucleotides. RefSeq lists it as uncharacterized. The record is from RefSeq and is a predicted model, not a curated record. NCBI's taxonomy places the organism in Eukaryota, Metazoa, Mollusca, Bivalvia, Myida, Dreissenidae. The transcript has 3 exons.